Molecule: non-coding RNA, 116 nt
Filed under: Sinomonas atrocyanea
Lineage: Bacteria; Bacillati; Actinomycetota; Actinomycetes; Micrococcales; Micrococcaceae
Description: SAM-I sequence
Rfam family: SAM riboswitch aptamer (S box leader)
About the family: The SAM riboswitch is found upstream of a number of genes which code for proteins involved in methionine or cysteine biosynthesis in Gram-positive bacteria.
Source: Rfam by way of RNAcentral
UGACCAUCCCGAGCGGCCGAGAGAUCUGGCUCCGUGACGCCGCAGCAACCAUGGCCCUCUGCACAGGACCACCCUCUGCGCAGGACCACAGGUGCUACCGCCAGAACCGAUGGAGA